ACACUGGGACGAGGAAACUGAGCUCCGGGCACAGCUCAGCCUGUGGGAAUUGCCCAACUGGGCUGUCGCAAUGGGCUAGGAGGCCAGGGUCGGCCCUGCCGCUGGCUGCCAGGACCAGGCUUCCUGGCCACCCUAAGCGCCUAGAAUCUGGGGACGAUGGCGGCCAAGCAGUUAACAUCUGCUCUGCGAUGGCGGUAAAAAGGAAAGCAAAAUUUCGAUCUAUUUUUCUGGGAAGAGAGUAAGAGAUUCGGGCUCUCCCGGCAGGACCCGAGCUUUGCAACACACCGGUGUUCCUUUAAGUCCAAAAGAGGGCCGAGAAACCAGCUGGCCCACAGUUCACAGAACAUCCCAGCAGGAACCCGUACCCCUGUGGAGACUGCUGAGAAACUGGAGCCUAUCCAGGCCACGGCCACGGCCGGGGAUCAGCCCCAACCUACGGAGCCCAUUAACAGUCGCUACCUGGUAAUUUCUAAAGCACCCACUGGGUGGGUGCGUGGUCCACGGGGGGCCACAAAAGCCAAGGACACAAGUUCACUGCCUGCAAGGAGCUUGCCCGUGGGAGAUAAAGCUGGUAACGGGCUCGACACCCAGGCAGCCCUUCCGGGAGGCGGAGAUGGGCUCCAGAAAUAACAGGAUUCAGAGGCUGCAUCCAAGGACGGAGAGACCAAAGUCCUGGUUGCACCAUUUGGCAGCAUGUCGCCUGACCUCCAGGAGCCUGGGUGUCUCUGUCUUUUAAAUGGGAUUCACAGAGACCCUACCUCUUAGGGUUAGCGUGAGGGCAGAGGGAAAUAAGGGGAGUUCCCGUGUGGCUCAGCAAUAAUGAACUUGGCUAAUAUCCCUAAGGACGAGCGUUCAAUCCUUGGCCUUGCUCAGGGGGUUAAAGAUCUGGUGUUGCUGUGAGUUGUGGUGUGGGUCACAAACAUGGCUUGGAUCCUGUGUUGCUGUAGCUGUGGUGUAGGCUGGACGCCGUAGAUCUGAUUCGACCCCUAGCCUGGGAACUUCCAUAUGCCUUGGGCGUGACCCUAAAAAGCAAAAAAAAAAAGAAGGAAAUUCAGGAAAACAACAUGAAUGAACCUCAAAGACGUGACCCCAGUUGAAAGAGGGCAGGUGUGCAAAGUGGCACACGGAAUGGUUCUUUUCCUAGGAAGUGGCCAGAGCGUUAAGUAAAUCCCUAGAGAUGAGAAGCAGAUUAGUGGUUGCCAAGGGCCGGGGGAGGGGAAAGGGGUGUCCUUUUGGGGUGGUGACAAUAUGUUGGAACUAGAUAGGGGGUGAUUGCAUGGGAAUAGGUGAAAGGUCACGGGACGGUGCAUUUUAAAACGGUGCAUUUCAGAAUUCCCUGGUGGCCUAGCGAUUAAAAGAGGCAGCGUCCUUCAAUCCCCGGCCUGAGGUCGAGGCCAAAAACAUUAAAAUGAAAUCAAAUGGUUCAUUUUUUGUUAUGUGAAUGUCACCUCAAUUAAAAAAAUGUCUUGAAGGAAAUUUGUUUGCACAAACAUAAUGAAUGGGACACUCGCCAGGGCCAAACCCCAGACACUGCCUCCUGUCACCCUCCAGCCUGGGCUGAGUGAGCUGGGUCACCCUCUGUCCAGGCCUGGACACCCUCAGCCUGGCCGGUGGGGCCUAGCGGAGCCCAGACAUGGGGGCAGGGAGGGGGCUGCCCCACACGGUGCGGGGAGAGGCCAGUGUCCCCAGGCUGCUGGGAGGACCAAGUUACAUCAGAGGUCGUGUGCGAGAUGCGUUACAAAGAGAGAGGGAUGAGCUCCAGGUGCACUGGCUGCACCUGCCAUGGAGCACCUGCCGUGGGGGGAGGAGGGGAGCACGAGGGGAUGUGCGCAGCCAGGGAGCCCACAGGGGUCAAGGCAGAGUCCCCGCCUGGCCCAGACCCGGGGACAGUCAGCUCCUCUGCCCACCCCCACCCCCCUCCCUCUCCUGGCCUCCCUGGCUCCCCCUCAGAGUCCCAUCCUAAUCCUGCCAGGAGAGGGAGCCCAGGGCAGUGGGUCUCCGUCCUGUGUCCCCCCUGCAGGCAGCCAGGCCAGAGAGAGAGCUGUCCAGCCCGCAGCCACGGAGGAGGCGCCCGCCACCCAGCUGACAUGGGGGCGGGUCUCAGGCUUUCCCCACUGGGCCACCACUGCCAGGGCAGCCUCCUGGGCUUUGGGCCACCAGGCGGAAAGGAUAAAAAGAGGCCACAUGCCUCCUGCCAAGUGGAGGCAUCCACGCACCAGGGGCAACUCUGUCACACAGAACUCGGGUGCCAGAGGACCACGUGGGCAUUCAGCAGGGCGAGUUGGCAGGACCGACACCACUGCCUGUUGGGAUCCCAGGACUCGGGGAGGCCAUGCUGCUGAGGGUGCCCUAGCCGGCCUGGCCCAGGCUGGGAGCCACCAGUAUGAGACGCCACUUGACUGGCAAGAAACUCACCUUCCGAGGAACCUGCCAGUCUUCAAACUCAUAAAUGCCCUCCAGAGUUAGUGACCCCUGAACUACGGGCAGAUGUUAAGUGCCCAUAACCCUUUCCGGCUGGUGAUAACCCCGCGGCACUCUUGGCUUUUCUUGCGAUGGGUUUGCUGUUUUCUCCAAGGAGUGGGUUUCAUCAGAUCCGGGUGCCCAAGACCGUGGCAAGGACCCAGCCACGGAAGGAGGGGCUGGACGGCGGCUCACAGUCCCCUUGUGCAGCUCCAGCGCGGGGCAAAAUCCCGCACAGGCCUGCGGUGAGGCCUCGCAAACAAGCAGCAGCAUGAUCCUGCCGGCCAGCUCAGCCCCCAGCCUUGGCCCAGAGCGGCUCUGGCCGCCCCGCCUCUGGCUCCCCUCCUGCAGCCCAUGCCGACCGCCCGCCACCAGAGGCCUUGCCAGCCGCCGAGGCAGCCCCUUGCGUCCCGUCCCCAGAGCCCUCAGCAGCCCUGAAGUCAUUCUGCUCCAGGAUCUGCUCCGUGUUUAUGUCCUGCCUCGGUCUCCGGGGGGCCUGACGUGCUCCCUGCAGCUUGUCCCCAGCACCCAGCCCCCGCGGGAACAAGGACCUGAGACGGAAACGGCAAAAGCGCUGUGAGCAAGACACCUGCCCGCGGAUCCCAGCCCCGCUGCCAGCUGUCUUUCUCCAUCGCUUGGCCGGCCCGAGGAUCUCAAGAAUGGAAAGGGGUUUAGGGGGUCUGGAGACCACCCCACCACCCAAGAAAGGAGCCCGAGGUUAACUCCCACGUUCUCAGGAGAGCCGCCGACGUGUUGAUGCAAGCGCCAAGUAAUCGAAUUGCAGGUGGGGGUGGGGAGGAGAUAAUUGAAUAUCAGCGAGGGGCUGUUGUCAGGUCAGCCAGUUCCUGGCGUGUUCUCGUAUGUGUGUUUUCUGAGAGAGCCCCCAAAUAAAACAGUUCUAUUAUUUUAUGCC
This 3373-nucleotide long non-coding RNA is filed under the name Sus scrofa (pig). Its description in RNAcentral is "lncRNA (ENSSSCG00060021372.1)". Lineage: Eukaryota; Metazoa; Chordata; Mammalia; Artiodactyla; Suidae. The record is from RNAcentral.